GAUCUCUAUUUUCUAUGAGCAAAUAUCCUCUGCUUUUAGCUGCUUGGUCACCCAGUUUAUAUUACAGUGGGACGUGUUUUUGAAGAGUAUGAAUGUCCAUCUGUGGAAAUGGAGGCAGAUGGAGUGGUUUAUAAGCAUGGAGGCAAUUUUUCACUUAGAUAGAACACUGAGAAGUUAAUUCGGGAAAUGAGAGGUGUUUUGCUGAAUGUGGUCAUCUCAGUUUUAGAUUUAGUAGUACCCUGGGGUAACUGUGGCCGAUUGUCAUACCUAAAGUAACCCAAAGAUAAUGAAACUGAAAAUGAAGGACUUUUAUUCUUCAAUUCCCAGCUUCUCACUAACCUCUCCCUUGAAGUUUUAAAAUAUGUACCAAGAAUCCACUGGAGGCUACCACAGACAGGCCCAAAUUUAGGAGAGGACCCUCACUCAGAUGAAUAAGUGCAUGAACAAGGUGAAUCAGGAGAACUUCCCGUAGCCUCUGCUAAGCAGCCUUCUGCAGCUGAAAGAAGCUAAGGGGACUGGACAGUUAGGAAUGAUUAAUGAGAAGCAGGGUGAUGUGCUGUAACACAAGCUGAACAAUGAGAACAUUUAAUCUGGGGAGCUGAGGAAGUCAGUUGGUACUUGGAUAUAAUCUUUCUAAAAUAUGAAGGUCACAGAAAAAUAAAUCAGGCUCGUGAAUUUGUUUAACCUGUUACCUAAUAUGAGAGUGGGAACAUAACUGAAUUUGAAAACCACAAUCAUGUGAGGAGAAGAAAGUCCUGGGUAAGCCACGUCACAGAUGACUGCAUUUGAUGCCACAGGCAAUUGAGAAGAAAUCCAGAUCUCCCUGCUGAAUAUUCACAUCAGGGCCUCACAGAUGUGUGUUCCCAGCUCAGGCCUAAAUCCUGCAGAACACAUUCUUGAAGAGGUUGUUGGGCUCAGAAAGCAAAGCUGCCAAGCAGCUGCCAACUUCGGCAGCAAUUCCAGGCAGCCAACCCCAAACCCCAUUUAUUGGCAGGAAUCCAGCACAGGCCAUGACCACCCCUUGCCUCACACCUCCUUGUGGGAUUUACAGGUUGACUGGACACUGUAGGGAUGUAAGUAGCUAUGGCUUUCAGAGUGGGUUUGGCUCACCUGUGGCUCAAAGAAUCUGUAUUACCUGGAAACCUGUUAAGAAUGCACCACAUUCAGCCCUAGGGCCGGGCCUCCAGGCUACCACCUGCACUGGAUUUCUCCAUCUUUGGGUCUUUUAAAUCUCUCCAGUUGGCCAUGAUGGCAAGCAGUAACAGCAAGGUUCCCCAUUCUCCUCCACUGGCUCAUAAUAUAUCGGCUUCACCGAACAAUUGGUUUCCAUAUGAAUCUGGAUUUUUAUUCUGAACUCUAGUCAAUGGUUAGAUCUACCUGGCCAUUGCUGUUUUAAUUAUAGCAGUAUGUAGUAUAAUUUAUUAUAAUGAUGUAUAUAUUUGUAUAAUAUAAAAACAAAAUAAAAUAGAUAUAAAUAAUAUAAGUAUAUAAGUAUGUACUAUAACUAAUAAUACAGUAGUAUAGUACAUUUGUUACUUCAUUAUAAGUUUUAAUACAUCUUAGGAAAAGCCUCAUUUCUUUCUCGCUGUGUAUGUGUCUAUUUUAAAGGCUAAUUGUUAAAAAAAUUAUUUUAAUUACAAAAGAUUCUCUUGUGUUUCAGAGAAAACUUAAGUUUCCUAUCUACUCUCUCUACAUAUCUCCCACUUUUAUGUUACCUUUCUAUGCCUUUUGAUUUUCUUAUUCAAACAACAUAUACAUUUUUAAAAAUUGGAUCUAUUCUUACUAUUCUGAAACUUGCAUUUUUCACUUAAUGAUGUCCCACAGACAUAUUGGUACCUAUGCCAUCAUCCUCACUGCGUUGGAGAUCUCAGUAUCUCUUUUUCAACCGCUGUUUUCUUCCAGGGAUUUGUCAGGAAUCACGGCUGUAGUAGACACUCUUGCAUGUAUAUGCAUGUGUAUCUUUUGAUAGUGCUGCUUUUAUUUCUCCAAGAUGUAUUGUUCAAAAUGGAAUUACUGAAGCAAAAGGUGUUCAUCUUAAAUGCAUGGUUUGUUUCAUGGCAUAAGAGCAAAGGCCCGAUUUGAGCGAGAAAGCACACUGUGCUGGGACCUCAGCAACCCCGAGAGCCAGCAUUUCACCAUGACCUUGCCUAUGUAGGUCAAAGACAUGGCACUCAGCCUCUGGGGAGUGACUUUUUUCUUGAGCUGCCUGUGUUCCAUCCUCCUUAAGGUGCGUGUGGGUUCCUUCAUCCAGCAUGCACUUAUUGAGAACCUAGUAUGUGCAUGACUAUGCUAAGGAUUCCAAGCCUUACUUCCUUUCAAGUGUUAAUGUUUUAAGAGCAGAUAUUGCCUGCAGAGAGAGAACGUUCUUCACACGGACUCUCAGGAUGCAGGCCAUUUGCAGAACAAGCCUGUUUUUCUAGUCCUGUUUUGGCAUCAAUACAGCUUAUCAUUUCAUCCUUGUCAGCAGAUGCUUCCUAGCUGUGCAAAUAUAUUGCGAAAUAAAAAUAGGGUCCUGUUGAAAUGCCAAUAGUUGACAACAGAAGCCAUCUUCUUUCUGGACUUUUCUGGCAAAAUGUCGUCCAUGUUUGCUACCUGUUGCCCUUCAGGGGCCAUUUGGGAGAAACAACAGAAAUUCAGAUUCCCAGAAUGCUUCAUGUGCUUUGGCAACCACUGCCAAUAAGCAAGAGCAAAACAGGGCUGCUGGUAGUUUCCAUAUCCCAGGUGGUCUCUCCCACCCUGGAUGGCCACACCACUGUGCCCAGCAGCACAGAGCAAAUGAGCAGACAGUGUGGACCCGUAGAAAUAUUCUUACAACAAGGUAGGCUUUUGCAACUCUGGAGAUUGCUCCAAAUCCCAAUGAUGGAAACAAACAAACAAAAUCUAUAUGUCAUUAUCCAGUCUUGAGGUGCUGCCAGCAAAUCUGAGCUUCUAGGCAUCCUGAAUCUUGUAGCCAGUAAGGAGAUAUUUAGGAAGAGCCUGGGGAAACUGAAUGGUACAAACGAAAGGGGAGCGAAGCCACGAGGACACCCCUAUGUACAAGACAUCGCAACUCAGUCUCUUGCUCUCUCCCUCUCCCUCACUCUCAAUUCUGCUGUCCCUCACCUUCUCUCAUUUUGCUAGGACAUUCUCUCUUCCUUUUCCUCUUUCCAUCUCCACCCCAGAGGAACCCCGUUCUCCAUUUCUCAGCACUUUUCUAGAUAACAGAGUCUUCCGAAAGCUGGAGGAGGUGUGCUGUACACUGCAGUACCCGUGCGGUGUGGCUGUGCCCAGAAGGAAACUCUAGUACAACCAGGGGUCGCCUUGCCAUGGCCUCCAUGGAGAUGGGGGGCACAUCUAAAUGUCCCUGGAGAAGUAAGAGACACUGAUGCCUAUGGCUUACCAGAUGCUUGAGGACAAACUCUUCAAGCCAGGCCAGAUUUUCUUUCUGUUCCCGAAGGAAGGAUGCGACAGCAGACCCUGAGAGAAUCCUUCAUUCUAUUGCAGCUUGAUCAAAAACAGAAUGACUCAAAGGAAAAAGUGAAGAAAAUUCCUCAAGUCACAGUUUAAGUAGUCUGGACCAGAAAGCUGCCACUCAGCUUGGAGAAGGAGGAGCUUUCAGCACUCACAGAGAGGUCCUAGGGAUGAGUCACACAUCAGCCUUUCGGGUGUCCUGCUGGGGAUUCAUUCUACAACCAAAUAGCAUGCUUGCUCAAAAGUGCCACCGAAGCUGACCGUCCUAUAAACACCACGUUUGUUGUAUGCUUCUCCUAUGAUUGUGGUUCUUUUGUGGUUCUGGGAGUGGCACUGUCCCUAACAGGGUGUUUGGACAGCCUGAGGCUGCUGUUGCCACUUCUUGGAAGGGACUAUACUGGAUAUCCUACAAUGUGCAAGACAGUCCCUAACAAUGAAGGAUUUGUUCCAGUUCCUAUGCCUCUCAAACGCCCUACUGAACUAAAUAUACUACAAAUAAAAAUCUAUAGUGGCUGGAUGCAGUGGCUCAUGCCUGUAACCCCAGCACUUUGGGAGGCCGAGGCAGGCGGAUCACUUGAGGUGAUGGGUUCAA
Piliocolobus tephrosceles (Ugandan red Colobus) is the source of this 4042-nucleotide long non-coding RNA. RefSeq lists it as uncharacterized. The transcript has 3 exons. The record is from RefSeq and is a predicted model, not a curated record. NCBI's taxonomy places the organism in Eukaryota, Metazoa, Chordata, Mammalia, Primates, Cercopithecidae.